RNAcentral lists this ribosomal RNA (428 nucleotides) under Parasitala sp. 1 AP-2023. Its description in RNAcentral is "partial large subunit ribosomal RNA". It matches the Rfam family "Bacterial large subunit ribosomal RNA", at positions 1817 to 2597 of the family's 2925-position model. Lineage: Eukaryota; Metazoa; Mollusca; Gastropoda; Stylommatophora; Euconulidae. The record is from RNAcentral.
AGUUUUAUGAUAUUAUAUAAAAUUAAUUCUGCCCGGUGAUUAGUUAAACGGCCGCAGUACUUUGACUGUGCUAAGGUAGCAUAAUAAAUUGGCUUUUAAUUGGAGUCUUGAAUGAAAGGUAAAAUGGAUAAAAAUUGUCUCUUAUUUAAUAUAUUAAAAUUACUUAAAAGGUGAAAAUUCCUUUAAUAUAAAAUUAGACGAGAAGACCCUAGGAGUUUAUAUAUUUAUUUUGUUGGGGCGACAUUACAGCAAUUAAAUAAACCUGUAAUUUUCUAUAUUAUCUAUAUAACGGUAUUUAAAAUUAUAAUUAAACUACCCUAGGGAUAACAGCAUAAUUUAAUUUUAAAAGUUUGUGACCUCGAUGUUGGACUAGGAAAAUUUAAUACUAACAGUAUUAAUUAAAGGUUCUGUUCGAACUUAUUAUUCCU